CCUACGGGAGGCAGCAGUGAGGAAUAUUGGUCAAUGGACGAGAGUCUGAACCGGCCAAGUAGCGUGAAGGAUGACUGCCCUAUGGGUUGUAAACUUCUUUUAUAUGGGAAUAAAAUGUUCCACGUGUGGGAUUUUGUAUGUACCAUAUGAAUAAGGAUCGGCUAACUCGGUGCCAGCAGCCGCGGUAAUACGGAGGAUCCGAGCGUUAUCCGGAUUUAUUGGGUUUAAAGGGAGCGUAGGUGGAUUGUUAAGUCAGUUGUGAAAGUUUGCGGCUCAACCGUAAAAUUGCAGUUGAAACUGGCAGUCUUGAGUACAGUAGAGGUGGGCGGAAUUCGUGGUGUAGCGGUGAAAUGCUUAGAUAUCACGAAGAACUCCGAUUGCGAAGGUAGUUCACUGGACUGCAACUGACACUGAGGCUCGAAAGUGUGGGUAUCAAACAGGAUUAGAUACCCUGGUAGUC
Molecule: ribosomal RNA, 460 nt
Filed under: uncultured bacterium
Lineage: Bacteria
Description: partial 16S ribosomal RNA
Rfam family: Bacterial small subunit ribosomal RNA
Source: RNAcentral